UCCGGUUGAUCCUGCCGGACCCGACUGCUAUUUGGGUGAGAAUAAGCCAUGCGAGUCGAAUGGGAUACCUAAUCUUCCCAUGGCAAACUGCUCAGUAACACAUGAUCAACUUACCCUAUAGAGAGAAAUACCCUCGGGAAACUGAGGAUAAUGACUCAUAAUUGAAAAGGCUUGGAAAAGUUUUUCAAUUAAAGGAUGUGAUAAAUGGUUCCUAUCUGCUAUAGGAUAGGAUCGUGCUCGAUUAUGGUUGUUGGCGAGGUAAAGGCUCACCAAGCCGAUAAUCGAUAGGGGCCGUGAGAGCGGGAGCCCCGAGAUGGGUACUGAGACAACGACCCAGGCCUUACGAGGCGCAGCAGGCGCGAAACCUCAUCAAUACACGAAAGUGUGAAUGGGUUACCCAAAGUGUUCAAUCUUGAACUGUGGUAGGUGAGUAAUGUUCCCUACUAGAAAGGAGAGGGCAAGGCUGGUGCCAGCCGCCGCGGUAAAACCAGCUCUUCAAGUGGUCGGGAUAUUUAUUGGGCUUAAAGUGUCCGUAGCCGGUUUAACAAGUUCCUGGUAAAAUCGGGUAGCUUAACUAUCUGUAUGCUAGGAAUACUGUCAUACUAGAGGGCGGGAGAGGUCUGAGGUACUACAGGGGUAGGGGUGAAAUCUUAUAAUCCUUGUAGGACCCCCAGUGGCGAAGGCGUCAGACUGGAACGCGCCUGACGGUGGGGGACGAAAGCCAGGGGAGCGAACCGGAUUAGAUACCCGGGUAGUCCUGGCCGUAAACGAUGCAUACUAGGUGAUGGCAAGGCCAUGAGCCGUGUCAGUGCCGUAGGGAAACCGUUAAGUGUGCCGCCUGGGAAGUACGGUCGCAAGGCUAAAACUUAAAGGAAUUGGCGGGGGAGCACCACAAGGGGUGAAGCCUGCGGUU
RNAcentral lists this ribosomal RNA (913 nucleotides) under uncultured archaeon. Its description in RNAcentral is "bacterial SSU rRNA". It matches the Rfam family "Archaeal small subunit ribosomal RNA", at positions 1 to 902 of the family's 1478-position model. The record is from RNAcentral.